UCAGACGAUGCGUCAUGCAUAUCAAUAAGCGGAGGAAAAGAAACUAACAAGGAUUCCCUUAGUAACGGCGAGUGAAGCGGGAAGAGCUCAAAUUUGAAAUCUUCAAGGUUUUACCUUGACGAAUUGUAGUUUAAAGAAGUGUUUUCUGUUGAAGUUUUGGUAAAAGUUCUUUGGAAUAGGACAUCAUAGAGGGUGAGAAUCCCGUAUUUGACCAUUAUUUUCAGCUGUGUGAUACACUUUCAAAGAGUCGGAUUGUUUGGGAAUGCAGUCCAAAAUGGGUGGUAAAUUUCAUCUAAAGCUAAAUAUUGGCGAGAGACCGAUAGCGAACAAGUACCGUGAGGGAAAGAUGAAAAGAACUUUGAAAAGAGAGUUAAACAGUACGUGAAAUUGUCAAAAGGGAAGCGUUUAACACCAGUGUUGUUUUCUGAAAAUCAACCUCUGUUAGCUUUAUGCAUGUUUGUUUAGACCUAAUCAGCUAUCUUGCAUGUUCUAUUGUUUGCAGUGGUGCACUUUUCAGUUUACAGGUCAACAUCAGUUUUUUUUACCGUAAAAAAGUUAAAGAAAGGUAGCUCAUGGCUCCGGUCGUGAGUGUUAUAGUCUUUUUCCUAUGCGGUAGGAGAGACUGAGGUCUGCAGUGUAGGCUAUUUGGCUAGAUACUCAGGUGCUAUGUGAUACCAUUUCAUAAACAACUUGUUGAUUAUGUUUUGUCUAUUGCAUACUCGCUUGUACUAUCAUACCUACGCUUAGGAUGUUGAUCUGUAGUGCGUGCGC
RNAcentral lists this ribosomal RNA (771 nucleotides) under uncultured Neocallimastigales. RNAcentral describes it as "partial large subunit ribosomal RNA". It matches the Rfam family "Eukaryotic large subunit ribosomal RNA", at positions 18 to 634 of the family's 3401-position model. Lineage: Eukaryota; Fungi; Neocallimastigomycota; Neocallimastigomycetes; Neocallimastigales. The record is from RNAcentral.